AGGGUUUGAUCAUGGCUCAGAACGUACGCUGGCGGCACGCCUAAUACAUGCAAGUCGAACGAAGUAGCAAUACUUAGUGGCAGACGGGUGAGUAACAUGUAGGUAUCUUCCCAUUGGUGAGGAAUAACACGAGGAAACUUGUGCUAAUACCUCAUAAGUCUUUACGGAGAAAGCUUUAUGCGCCGAUGGAUGAGCCUGCACUUGAUUAGUUUGUUGGUAGGGUAAUGGCCUACCAAGACAAUGAUCAAUAGCUGAUUUGAGAGGAUGAUCAGCCACAUUGGGACUGAGACACGGCCCAAACUCCUACGGGAGGCAGCAGUAGGGAAUCUUGCACAAUGGGGGAAACCCUGAUGCAGCGAUGCCGCGUGAGUGAAGAAGGCCUUUGGGUUGUAAAGCUCUUUCGUCGGGGAAGAAAAUGACUGUACCCGAAUAAGAAGGUCCGGCUAACUUCGUGCCAGCAGCCGCGGUAAUACGAAGGGACCUAGCGUAGUUCGGAAUUACUGGGCUUAAAGAGUUCGUAGGUGGUUAAAAAAGUUGGUGGUGAAAUCCCAGAGCUUAACUCUGGAACUGCCAUCAAAACUUUUUAGCUAGAGUAUGAUAGAGGAAAGCAGAAUUUCUAGUGUAGAGGUGAAAUUCGUAGAUAUUAGAAAGAAUACCAAUUGCGAAGGCAGCUUUCUGGAUCAUUACUGACACUGAGGAACGAAAGCAUGGGUAGCGAAGAGGAUUAGAUACCCUCGUAGUCCAUGCCGUAAACGAUGUGUGUUAGACGUUGGAAAUUUAUUUUCUGUGUCGCAGCGAAAGCAAUAAACACACCGCCUGGGGAGUACGACCGCAAGGUUAAAACUCAAAUGAAUUGACGGGGACCCGCACAAGUAGUGGAGCAUGUGGUUUAAUUCGAAGAUACGCGCAGAACCUUACCAACACUUGACAUGUUCGUCGCGACUUUAAGAGAUUAAAGUUUUCGGUUCGGCCGGACGAAACACAGGUGCUGCAUGGCUGUCGUCAGCUCGUGUCGUGAGAUGUUGGGUUAAGUCCCGCAACGAGCGCAACCCUCACUUUUAGUUGCCAUCAUUUAGUUGGGCACUCUGAAAGAACUGCCAGUGAUAAGCUGGAGGAAGGUGGGGAUGACGUCAAGUCCUCAUGGCCCUUACGUGUUGGGCUACACACGUGCUACAAUGGCAUUUACAAUAGGAAGCAAAACGGCGACGUUAAGCAAAUCCUAAAAAAAUGCCUCAGUUCGGAUUGUACUCUGCAACUCGAGUACAUGAAGCUGGAAUUACUAGUAAUCGCGGAUCAGCGCGCCGCGGUGAAUACGUUCCCGGGUCUUGUACACACCGCCCGUCACACCAUGGGAGUUGGUUCUACCUUAAGGCAAAGCUUAAUACCUUUGACCACGGUAUAGUCAGCGACUGGGGUGAAGUCGUAACAAGGUAGCCGUA
Molecule: ribosomal RNA, 1439 nt
Filed under: uncultured bacterium
Lineage: Bacteria
Description: bacterial SSU rRNA
Rfam family: Bacterial small subunit ribosomal RNA
Source: RNAcentral